CCGAGUUUACAACUCCCAAACCCCUGUGAACAUACCACUUGUUGCCCUCGGCGGAUCAGCCCCGCUCCCGGUUAAACGGGACGGCCCGCCAGAGAGACCCCUAAACUCUGUUUCUAUAUAUGUAACUUCUGAUAGUAAAACCAUAAAUAAAUCA
Molecule: unclassified non-coding RNA, 154 nt
Filed under: soil metagenome
Description: partial internal transcribed spacer 1
Source: RNAcentral